UAAGCUUAGGGCACAUAAGGUUUUCACAAAAAGUGGGCCUGCCGGCGUAAUAAACUGCAUUCCACUAUCUGCAUCGUCCUUCUGAGUGAGUUUGUUUCCCGGAAGGCGUGGCUACAUUUGGUGCACUGGCCGGGAAACUCCUCACUUUGAGACAAGUUCCAUUUGGGACGACUCCGAGGCUUUGCGGCUUGAAUCUUCUAGAGGGCGGAAGGUGCCUUGCCCUUCUGGAAGGAUUCUGCGUCUCAACGCUGGGGACUUUCACCUUAGCAGGCAGUGGACAGCAGCAGGGGAACUGAGUGCUCAGGUCAAUGCUGCCUCUCAGCACAGACAAAAACCUCUGGGGAUUCAGCUGAAAGGCACGCUGCCCUUUGAACACCUGGGAGUGGACUUCACUGAAAUGAAACCUCACCAACACUACCGUUACCUGCUGGUCAUGGUAUGUACGUUCUCGGGAUGGGUAGAAGCUUUUCCUACCCGGACUGAAAGAGCGUCAGAAGUAGCCCUGUGCCUGCUUAGGGAAAUAGUUCCCAGAUUUGGAUUUCCUUCCAGCACUGGAUCAGACAAUGGUCCGGAUUUCAUAGCUGAUAUAGUACAAGAAGUAAGCAAAACUUUAAGCAUCAAACGGAAACUGCACACUGCGUACAGGCCCCAGAGUUCUGGGAUGGUGGCACGGACCAACCGGACACUUAGAGAGGCACUCUCCAAGUGGGUCAUAGAGACUGACUGCUCCUGGGUGGACUUGCUUCCGACGGCUCUGCUCAGACUCAGGAUGACCCCGCAGUCCCAAGGCUGUUCUCCACACGAAAUUGCGUAUGUGAGGCCCCCUCCCAUAAUAAUACGGGUGUCAACAAAUUUGCCUCAGGUAAGGAGAGGGAUAGGAUUUCGCAGCAGAUAGAACUGGGUAAGGUAAUAAAUCAGGUAACUGAGUCUGUAUAAGAAAGGGUGCCAUUCCCCCUUGGGGAAGAGAUUCAUGAGUUUACUCUUGGUGACCAAGUAUGGGUCAAAGAUUGGAAACGAGAUUCACUAGCCCCUCAGUGGAAGGGCCCUUAUACCGUUAUUCUAAUUACCCCUACUGCAGUGAAAGUUGCAGGUAUUGCCCCUUGGAUCCAUCAUAUGAGGGUGAAGUGAACAUACCACGCAGACCCAGAAAACGCUGAGUGGACUGUACAGAGGGACCCCGCUGACCGUCGAGAGACCAAGAUCAUCCUUAGAAAGAAGAAGGAAAGAAGAUCCUGGACGAGCCCCUUGAGGAUGAAGCCACACGAUCAACUCCUGCUGCUUGGUCUCACCAACGUGCACAUUCCUACGCGGACUUCCACAAUACCUCCCGCUGUUGGGUACGCGGGGCUAUGCUUCUUCCUGUGAUGGAUGGAGUUCCCUGGUGGGUGUCACCACUCUGCCAAGGAAAUUUUAAACCACUCUGCAUUUUUUGGGACAACAAAAAGAGACUUUGCUCUCUCUUGUCAAUCAUAAUCUCUCCCUGCUCUCUUGGUUUUAGCCAGACCUAACAGUCAAUAGACUCAGGUCAUGGGGUCACUCACAUAUUAUGUAAACACCAGUUCAUUAAAGUAACAGAAGCGGUAAUUCAAAUAAAAUGGUUUUGCACAUGCUCACAGCUGCUCAAGGAGGGACCUGUGCUACAGUUAAGGUUGAAUGCUGUGUAUACAUUCCUGAUUCAUCUGGCGAUGUAUCAGCUGCUUUCGACAUCAUGAAAAACCAGGUAAAAACAAUGUCAAAUGAAAACAUUCCUUCCUGGACUUCGGUACUAUCUUGGGUGAAGGGUGAUUGGCGAAAAACUAUAUUUACCACUGUUAUAGUUGCCCUGAUAGUUCUACUCUGUGGACGCUGAAUUUUACAAUGUAUUAUGAACUUUGCAACCCAAAGGUUGGUGUCGUUCCCCCAAACUGGCGGUCGGAGAGCCAGGGUGCAAUAUAUCCUUAUGAAUGAUGCUCAUACUAUGAGUUAAGAGCAUCAAGAGGGGGGAAUGAAGGAAGAAACAGAACAGGCUCUAUCUUGAAAGCAGGACUCCAUCUUGGGUCAGACUGUGGACUCUGAGCUAUAUGCCCACUAUCUAUGGAAACGAUAUACCAACUGAAAAACCAGGCCCCCUGGAUGGAAGAGCCCCAGGGCUCUCCAUCACCUAAAAGAAUACUCUAUUUGUGUAACCGAAUAGAAUCAUACAUUCCAUUAUGCUUUAUUGGUAUGACCACAAGCCUAUUGAUAAUUGUCACUGUUAACUACCUAGGCUUUAGGCAUAUGAAUUACGGGUUAACUUUGAUUGUAUCUUUCUUUUUCCUUUGUGCAGACUAGUUUCAGGGAAUUUGGGGAGGAGGGUUUGGGGACAUAUGCUUAGGGUAUAAGGUUUUCACAAAAACGGGUCUGGGUCCUUGGCUAAGAGGAGACUCUGCCUUGGGCCCGCCGGUGUAAUAAACUGCACUCCACUA
Capra hircus (goat) is the source of this 2444-nucleotide long non-coding RNA. RefSeq lists it as uncharacterized. Lineage: Eukaryota; Metazoa; Chordata; Mammalia; Artiodactyla; Bovidae. The record is from RefSeq and is a predicted model, not a curated record. The transcript is spliced from 2 exons.